GUAAGACUGGGAUAACUUCGGGAAACCGGAGCUAAUACCGGAUAACUUCAGACACCACCUGGUGACUGAAUAAAAGAUGGCUUAGGCUAUCACUUACAGAUGGGCCCGCGGCGCAUUAGCUAGUUGGUGAGGUAACGGCUCACCAAGGCGACGAUGCGUAGCCGACCUGAGAGGGUGAUCGGCCACACUGGGACUGAGACACGGCCCAGACUCCUACGGGAGGCAGCAGUAGGGAAUCUUCCGCAAUGGACGAAAGUCUGACGGAGCAACGCCGCGUGAGCGAUGAAGGCCUUCGGGUCGUAAAGCUCUGUUGUUAGGGAAGAACAAGUACCGUUCGAAUAGGGCGGUACCUUGACGGUACCUAACCAGAAAGCCACGGCUA
RNAcentral lists this ribosomal RNA (382 nucleotides) under uncultured bacterium. RNAcentral's name for it is "bacterial SSU rRNA". It matches the Rfam family "Bacterial small subunit ribosomal RNA", at positions 132 to 499 of the family's 1533-position model. The record is from RNAcentral.